CUCCAGACUCCUACGGGAGGCAGCAGUGGGGGAUAUUGCACAAUGGGGGAAACCCUGAUGCAGCGACGCCGCGUGAAGGAAGAAGUAUUUCGGUAUGUAAACUUCUAUCAGCAGGGAAGAAAAUGACGGUACCUGACUAAGAAGCCCCGGCUAACUACGUGCCAGCAGCCGCGGUAAUACGUAGGGGGCAAGCGUUAUCCGGAUUUACUGGGUGUAAAGGGAGCGUAGACGGCGAUGCGAGCCGGGAGUGAAAGCCCGGGGCCCAACCCCGGGACUGCUCUUGGAACUGCGUGGCUGGAGUGCAGGAGGGGCAGGCGGAAUUCCUGGUGUAGCGGUGAAAUGCGUAGAUAUCAGGAGGAACACCGGUGGCGAAGGCGGCCUGCUGGACUGCAACUGACGUUGAGGCCCGAAAGCGUGGGGAGCAAACAGGAUUAGAUACCCGAGUA
Molecule: ribosomal RNA, 446 nt
Filed under: uncultured bacterium
Lineage: Bacteria
Description: bacterial SSU rRNA
Rfam family: Bacterial small subunit ribosomal RNA
Source: RNAcentral